Aegilops tauschii subsp. strangulata is the source of this 1722-nucleotide long non-coding RNA. RefSeq lists it as uncharacterized. The record is from RefSeq and is a predicted model, not a curated record. Lineage: Eukaryota; Viridiplantae; Streptophyta; Magnoliopsida; Poales; Poaceae.
CGGCCGGGCACCCCCACUCGCGAAGAAAUGAAAAAAAAGAUAGAUUUGCCCUCGCCGCCGUGGUAACCUAGGGUGUGGGGGACAAAAAGGGGAGAGUGUCGCGGAGGUCGGCCUACAGGACUGCGGCGGCGCCGGUGUUUCCACGUCGGGCUAGCGACGGAUGGACGCCGAGGGUAUGGAGUUCCUGCUUGACGCGGUGGACAGAUUCCCCGUACUGGAGGGAUUUGCUGACAGGCUUGACCACCCAGAUCCAGUUCCACUCCAUUAUCUGCUGGAGAAGGGGAGUGCAACUCAGGAUGUUGGGGAACUGAAUGGUGUUUCUGGGCUGGCUCAAACGGAGGACGAAGGAGCAGCUGCAGACCGACAAGAAGGUGACCAGCGUUUUCGUGAUGAAUAUCCGACGAGGUCCGCUCAAUAGACUGACAGGGUUAAUCCACAAGCCCCCGGAUGGACAAAAAGGCUCCGGCUCGGAAGUGCGCCACCGGACCGAGUGCCAUGCCCAUCGAGGAUGAGCGCUCUCGAGGUUUCAAUCCGCAAAUAUGCAGAGCAGCCUGACAAGAGUGUCGUUAGACCUGAGCUAGGACUCAGUUUUGAUUCGUCGGGCGAGGCAUAUGAUUUCUAUAAUCUAUAUUCUUGAGAAGUAGGUUUUGGCAUAAGAUAUGGAAAAAGCAGACUCAACGCCGAGAGGACAAAAAGCAUGCAGGAAAUAGUUUGUGGUUGCUCGGUGAGUACACUUUUAAUGCAACAAAAUAAAAAUUAAAAACAUAAAUGUGGAAACAAUAGUAAUGACUACGAUCAAGAUUUCUUUUGGAACUAGAGCUGGGCUACUUUUGACAUGUUUGCUGGAUGUUCUAAGGGGAAACCGGAAACCGAAAACAGUCGGUCCUGCAGAUGUGAGUGCCCAGCUCUGAUUAGGCUUCUGCGUGCAUCCGACAACAGCUGGUACAUAACAGAGCAUCGAGCGAGUCACAAAACCAUUCCAUGUCGCUAACAAUGGGAGAGAAAGUGCACUGGCCUUCUCAUAAACAGAUAGAUGUAUACACCAAGGAUUUGAUAAAGCAACUGAGGGAAAACAAUGUUAACCUUGGGAAGGUAUACAGUAUAAUUGGGAGCUUCUUUGGUUCGGUCGAGAAGGUCACUUUCACGAAGGGGACGCUCAAGAAUAUUUGUGGGAAGAUUAGCCGUGAACAGGCUGAAGACGAUGUCCGGAAGACACUUCAGGCGUUUGCUGACAUCCAGGCCAACGCCAUUGCCAAACUGAUUUCGAAAUUUUUUGAACCGAUCGCUGGCAUCCGAUGGGAGGUUCUCUCGCUGAAUCGGCAAGUAGUGGCACAACCAGAGGGGCGGGGCAUGAUGCGUUCGUGGGAUUGAAUCUUCCUCCUUCACCUCCCUCCCGCAUGGACUCCGCAUCUAGCGCCUGGAGCACAACGCAUCUGCCAGCGGAUGUCGACGACACUAAUGGAGAGGGCGAGGUCGUCCAGCAAGAUGAGUCUGUCCACCGGCCUCUCACCCAUGAUUUGGGCAGCAUGGUGGGGCAAGAUUCACGGGAAGAAGGAUUUGGUGAUUACGAUCCAGCUGCUGCUCCGGAUUCGCCGCGUAGCACUGGUAGUUCUGCCAUCGACGACCAAUCUGGUGUCAUGUGUGGUGGCAACGUGGAAGACUCUGAAGAUGAGGAGGACAUUAUCAGCAUGCUGCCUAAACACCGCUGUAUAAUAGACUAGA